This is a non-coding RNA of Ciona intestinalis (vase tunicate), 220 nucleotides long. Lineage: Eukaryota; Metazoa; Chordata; Ascidiacea; Phlebobranchia; Cionidae. The record is from RefSeq and is a predicted model, not a curated record.
AAUUCACGAAAUUAGAAUUUUGGGAUGCGGAAGCAGAGUGGCGCAGCGGAAGCGUGCUGGGCCCAUAACCCAGAGGUCGAUGGAUCGAAACCAUCCUCUGCUAAGCAAAGCUGUGAUCGUAUAGUGGUUAGUACUUCACGUUGUGGCCGUGACAACCCAGGUUCGAAUCCUGGUCACAGCAUUUGUACCGAACACAACACAAAACAAAGUUCUUGUUAUU